GUGAACAAAACGAACUCGGCCUUCCAGUUUGUUGUGCAAGCGGCCCAGCAGCCCAGCAACGGCGAGCUCUCCCCAACCGACGACCCACGACCCCGUCACGGCCUCGCCGGCGGCGGCACGCUCACUGGCCUUGCCGUCGCUGCCUCGCCUCCGGCUUCGCCCCGUCAUCCGGCGCUCGCCGACACCCCGCCUAGACCCCUCCUCCCCCUCCUACUCUCAAGUCUGACCCCCUCGCUCGUCCCCGGCUCCCCGACGCCCUGCGCCCAACGGCCGCCGACGCUCCCUGCCCCUUCUGGCAAAGCCACACAGGUGAGCACGAUGCUGCGCAGCUUCCCCCAGGCCCGUCGGCUUCUGAAGAGGCUGGGUUUUGAGAAGGGGGACGCCUACUUCUUUAAGCAGAUGGGCAAGGGCAUGCUAUGCACAUAUGCGCUUUUUGGCGCCGCGUGGUUCUGGAAUGAGACAUCACCGCUUGGCUGGUGGACGCUCAAGCCACGGCCCAAGGAAGAGAAGGAGAUGGCGCAUCUGUACGAUCGCAGGGAGUUCCCGUACCCGGGCGACGAGGAGGCGGUGGAGGAGUUCAUAAAGAGCGGGGGCGCCCUGGGCACGACGAUCGGGCCCAAGGGGUUCGCGGACGCCAACAUGGACUCGGACAACAUGCAGAAGCAGCUGCAGUCGAAGAAGUUUGACCAGGAGGCGCGCAAGCUGUGGUUCCGGAUGCGCAACGAGGUGGUGCAGGAGCUCCAGGAGAAGGGGUUCGACGUCGAAUGAUGCGACUCCGUGUUUGUCUGUUUGUUUGUUCUUUCCCCUAAAAGAAAGAAAGAAAGAAAGAAAGAAAGGGUCAAGUAAGUGUUUUGCAUUGAGAGCUCGUCGUUGGUGGUUCCUGGCGCGUGAGUGACGCCCAGCCGGCAUGGCGGCCAACGUGGGGGAGUCCACGAGCGGGAGCAGCAGCGUGGCCGGCGACGGCGGGGGCAGCUUCGAGUG
Molecule: RNA transcript, 981 nt
Organism: Triticum aestivum (bread wheat)
Lineage: Eukaryota; Viridiplantae; Streptophyta; Magnoliopsida; Poales; Poaceae
Exons: 5
Source: RefSeq, a predicted model, not a curated record